AUCCAGACUCCUACGGGAGGCAGCAGUGGGGAAUCUUCCGCAAUGGGCGAAAGCCUGACGGAGCAACGCCGCGUGAUCGAAUGAAGGCCUUCGGGUUGUAAAGAUCUGCUGACAGGGACGAAUAAGCCAUGCGAAUAGUUUGGUGUAUGACGGUACCUGUUUAGAAAGCUCCGGCUAACUACGUGCCAGCAGCCGCGGUAAUACGUAGGGGGCAAGCGUUAUCCGGAUUCACUGGGCGUAAAGGGAGCGCAGGCGGCGCGACAAGUCUGAUGUGAAAGCCCGGGGCUCAACCCCGGGUCUGCAUUGGAAACUGUCGAGCUAGAGUGUCGGAGGGGUAAGCGGAAUUCCUAGGGUAGCGGUGAAAUGCGUAGAUAUUAGGAGGAACACCAGUGGCGAAGGCGACUUUCUGGACUGUACCUGACGCUGAGGCGCGAAAGCGUGGGUAGCGAACGGGAUUAGAUACCCCCGUAC
Molecule: ribosomal RNA, 471 nt
Filed under: uncultured bacterium
Lineage: Bacteria
Description: bacterial SSU rRNA
Rfam family: Bacterial small subunit ribosomal RNA
Source: RNAcentral